UACGUAGGGCGCAAGCGUUGUCCGGAAUUAUUGGGCGUAAAGAGCUCGUAGGCGGUUUGUCGCGUCUGUCGUGAAAGCUUGGGGCUUAACCCCAAGUCUGCGGUGGAUACGGGCAGACUAGAGGCAGGUAGGGGAGAACGGAAUUCCCGGUGUAGCGGUGAAAUGCGCAGAUAUCGGGAGGAACACCGGUGGCGAAGGCAGUUCUCUGGGCCUGUACUGACGCUGAGGAGCGAAAGCGUGGGGAGCGAACAGG
This 253-nucleotide ribosomal RNA is filed under the name uncultured bacterium. RNAcentral's name for it is "partial 16S ribosomal RNA". It matches the Rfam family "Bacterial small subunit ribosomal RNA", at positions 524 to 776 of the family's 1533-position model. The record is from RNAcentral.